RNAcentral lists this ribosomal RNA (775 nucleotides) under uncultured bacterium. Its description in RNAcentral is "bacterial SSU rRNA". It matches the Rfam family "Bacterial small subunit ribosomal RNA", at positions 1 to 752 of the family's 1533-position model. The record is from RNAcentral.
GGCCUGGUACAUUCCCUUGAGUUGAUCAUGGCUAGAAUAACGCUGGCGGCGUGCCUAACACAUGCAAGUCGAACGAGAAGGUGACUUCGGUCACUGGAUAGUGGCGUCCGGGUGAGUAACACGUAGGUAAUCUACCUUCGGGUGGGGAAUAACGUCUCGAAAGAGACGCUAAUACCGCAUAAUGCAGCGGCACCUAAUGGUGAAUAGUUGUUAAAGCGGGGGAUCUUCGGACCUCGCGCCUGAAGAGGAGCCUGCGGCAGAUUAGCUUGUUGGUGAGGUAAUGGCUCACCAAGGCUUCGAUCUGUAGCUGGUCUGAGAGGACGGCCAGCCACACUGGCACUGACACACGGGCCAGACUCCUACGGGAGGCAGCAGUGGGGAAUUUUGGGCAAUGGGCGAAAGCCUGACCCAGCAACGCCGCGUGAAGGAGGAAAUCCUUCGGGAUGUAAACUUCAUAAGUAAGGGAAGAAAGCUGCGGAUUGAAUAAAUCCGCAGUCCGACGGUACCUUACGUAAGCCACGGCUAACUACGUGCCAGCAGCCGCGGUAAUACGUAGGUGGCAAGCGUUGUUCGGAAUUAUUGGGCGUAAAGGGCGCGUAGGCGGUUUGCUAAGUCAGUUGUGAAAGCCCGGGGCUCAACCCCGGAGGGUCGGCUGAUACUGGUGGACUAGAGUACGGAAGAGGUAGCUGGAAUUCCCGGUGUAGCGGUGAAAUGCGUAGAUAUCGGGAGGACACCUGAGGCGAAGCGGGCUACUGGGCGAUACUGACGCUGAGCC